This 253-nucleotide ribosomal RNA is filed under the name uncultured bacterium. Its description in RNAcentral is "partial 16S ribosomal RNA". It matches the Rfam family "Bacterial small subunit ribosomal RNA", at positions 524 to 776 of the family's 1533-position model. The record is from RNAcentral.
UACGAAGGGGGCUAGCGUUGCUCGGAAUCACUGGGCGUAAAGGGUGCGUAGGCGGGUCUUUAAGUCAGGGGUGAAAUCCUGGAGCUCAACUCCAGAACUGCCUUUGAUACUGAGAGUCUCGAGUACGGGAGAGGUGAGUGGAACUGCGAGUGUAGAGGUGAAAUUCGUAGAUAUUCGCAAGAACACCAGUGGCGAAGGCGGCUCACUGGCCCGGUACUGACGCUGAGGUGCGAAAGCGUGGGGAGCAAACAGG